Molecule: ribosomal RNA, 424 nt
Filed under: uncultured bacterium
Lineage: Bacteria
Description: partial 16S ribosomal RNA
Rfam family: Bacterial small subunit ribosomal RNA
Source: RNAcentral
AAUAUUGGACAAUGGGCGAAAGCCUGAUCCAGCCAUGCCGCGUGUGUGAAGAAGGUCUUCGGAUUGUAAAGCACUUUACGUUGGGAGGAGGGGUUGUAGGUUAAUACUCUGCAGUCUUGACGUUACCAACAGAAUAAGCACCGGCUAACUCCGUGCCAGCAGCCGCGGUAAUACGAAGGGUGCAAGCGUUAAUCGGAAUUACUGGGCGUAAAGCGCGACGAGGAGGUUUGUCAAGUUGGAAGUAAAAGCCGCGAGCUCAACCUGGGAACUGCUUUCAAAACUGGCAAGCUAGAGUAUGGCAGAGGGUGGUGGAAUUUCCUGUGUAGCGGUGAAAUGCGUAGAUAUAAGAAGGAACAUCAGUGGCGAAGGCGACCACCUGGGCUAAUACUGACAAUGAGGUGCGAAAGCGUGGGGAGCAAACAGG